GAUUUCUGCGAACCAUUGCAGCCCGUGCCUUCUCGGGCGUGUGCGCUGUGUGGAGCUGCGUCCAUUCAUUUGCCGGACUUACGCGAUCUGGAUCGAUUACUUUGAAAAAUUAGAGUUUUUAAAGCAGGCUUAUGCCUUGAAGACACGAGCAUGGAAUAAUAAUUGAGGACUUCAGUUCUAUUUUGUUGCUUUCUAGGACUGGAGUCAUGAUUGAUAGGGACAGUUGAGGUAAAAUUCUUAGAUUCGCGGAAGAGUAACUACUGCGAAAUCGUU
RNAcentral lists this ribosomal RNA (273 nucleotides) under uncultured Trinematidae. RNAcentral describes it as "partial 18S ribosomal RNA". The stretch from base 86 to 273 matches the Rfam family "Eukaryotic small subunit ribosomal RNA", at positions 741 to 955 of the family's 1831-position model. The record is from RNAcentral. Lineage: Eukaryota; Cercozoa; Imbricatea; Euglyphida; Trinematidae.